Molecule: long non-coding RNA, 1447 nt
Organism: Misgurnus anguillicaudatus (oriental weatherfish)
Lineage: Eukaryota; Metazoa; Chordata; Actinopteri; Cypriniformes; Cobitidae
Source: RefSeq, a predicted model, not a curated record
UUCCUAAUACCCGUUUAAAAUCUAUGGGUGAUAGGGCAUUUUCAGCUGUCGCUCCUAGGCUUUGGAAUUCCUUGCCUGCUCCAAUUAGGCAAGCAGAAUCCCUUAGUGUUUUUAAAUCCUCCCUUAAAGCUUAUUUCUUUAGGGUAGCUUUUACUUAAAAUUGAUCUCUCUUUUAACUGACCUACGUUCUUAUUUUGUGUACACUGUAAAUGCAAACAUGGUACUUACUUAAAAAUAGUAAAUUGACCUUAAUCAGUUUUUAUCAACCUGCUUUUAACACUUGCUUUUAGUGAGUUACUUGUACUUUGAGGUUGAAAAAUCUUACCAGCUCAGUCUACUUGAGCUGGAUUCAUAUAGAAAAAGUAAGUUUAUGACAUGUGGACAUGCGCAGAUCAGUCCUCUCUGAAAUGCCUAAACCCAACCAAUCAAGGUGCUUCGUGGGGCGGGUCUUGGCGUUGCGGGAAUCGUAAUUUUGCAGACGGUCGUUACAUGUCACCUUACCACAUGCUGCAAUUGACCGGGUGGAGCUGGACCUAAACAUCGCUUCUACAGCACUUGUGAUUGUCUUCAGCCGAUAUUCUUGUGAUUGGCACACUCAUUUGGCUCAAGCAGAAUGGUAAUCAAUCCUCCUCACAUUCCAUAAUCCCAGCAAUAAAAGAUACUGUGGCCAGUCCAUCAUACCCAGGCUACACUAUCCUAGAUGCCAACCACAAUUGAAGAAAUGAAGAAAAAACUACCAAAUGUGGCUCUCUCAUUUCACAAAUGAUGAACCAAUCAUUCCCACUACGCAGACAAGAAAUUGUAAAAAACAAGGGCCUGCUGUACAGAACAUGGUUGAACGAUGGCCAGCACUUUUCACAGAGAGACAGGUGUUUGCUGAGUUUAAUAGAAUCGGCAGUAAGAACCUUGAGGGAGACUUGAGGCUUGGGACCAGUAUGCCCCACGUUUCAUCGAACUUUUUUAAACAAAAAGGGAACUGUUGGCCAGAAAGUCGAGGAGCUGAUGCAGCUGGCUGACACCAGACGUGACAGUACUUCGCUCAUUUGUCCUCAAAGGCAUUCCCAUUUUACUCUGUGACGACUCCAAUGAAUUCUACAAGCCCUGCUCUGUAAGUACUUGCACAUAAGAAAAAGUUUGGUCUGCAUGAAUAUAAAACUAUACCUGUGUCGGCAUAGAAGAUGUACUUCUAUCUGCUUGAUAUACAAUAUACAUUUUGUACAGUGAUUAAUGUAUUUUGUUUAGCAAUACCUACUAGGGAUGUAACGGUUCACAAAAUUCACGGUUAGCUUCAAUACGAUAUGUAUUGUGCCAUGGUUCAGUAAAUUUUUGAUACAGCAAAAAGAAAUAAAUGCCAGAGAAAUUUCCUUACGAUUGGCAUACGAUAGAGAUUUUAAUUCUAUUGCACUAAUCGCGAUAAUGCAUGUUAAUUACGCAAUCUACCCGCAAA